CCCACGGCGAACGGGUGAGUAAUACCUAGGAACAUCCCUCUAGUUGAGCAUAACCUGCCGAAAGGCAGGAUAAUUCUCGAUGUGGCAGCAAUGCUAAAGUCGCAAGACGCUAGAUAAAUGGCCUGGGCACCAUCAGCUUGUUGGUAAGGUAAAGGCUUACCAAGGCUAUGACGGUUAGGGGCCCCGAGAGGGGAGACCCCCACACUGGAACUGCGACACGGUCCAG
Molecule: ribosomal RNA, 226 nt
Filed under: uncultured bacterium
Lineage: Bacteria
Description: partial 16S ribosomal RNA
Rfam family: Bacterial small subunit ribosomal RNA
Source: RNAcentral